GACGAACGCUGGCGGCGUGCCUAAUACAUGCAAGUAGGACGCAGUUGCGAACGGGGGAGUAACGCGUAGGUAACUACCUAUAAGAGGGGGAUAACUAAUGGAAAAGAUAGCUAAUACAGCAUACUAGUAGAUGGACCUGCGUGGUAGUAGCUAGUAGGUAGGGUAAGUGCCUACCUAGGAAACGAUACAUAGCCGACCGGAGAGGGUGAUCGGCCACCCUGGGACGUGGACACGGCCCAGACUCCUACGGGAGGCCGCAGUAGGGAAUCUUCGGCAAUGGAGGAACCUUGACCGGGGAACGCCGCGUGAGUGAAGAAGGUUUUCGGAUCGUAAAGCUCUGUUGUUUAGGAAGCGGUAUUUAACCAGAAAGCGACGGCUAACUACGUGCCAGCAGCCGCGGUAAUUC
RNAcentral lists this ribosomal RNA (406 nucleotides) under uncultured bacterium. Its description in RNAcentral is "partial 16S ribosomal RNA". It matches the Rfam family "Bacterial small subunit ribosomal RNA", at positions 28 to 526 of the family's 1533-position model. The record is from RNAcentral.